This is a long non-coding RNA of Bombus terrestris (buff-tailed bumblebee), 1668 nucleotides long. RefSeq lists it as uncharacterized. The transcript has 3 exons. The record is from RefSeq and is a predicted model, not a curated record. NCBI's taxonomy places the organism in Eukaryota, Metazoa, Arthropoda, Insecta, Hymenoptera, Apidae.
AUCUAAAGAAUUUAUGUACAAAAUUAUUUUUUCCUAGGCUUUCUAAUUUUUGAAAUCUGUAUGUAGUAUAUCUAUCUCUACGAGACCCGUUAAAUUGACGGCUUAGCUGAUUUCAUAAACAAUCCAUUUAUCAAAGACAGUGAGCAAAAGUUUCAGUUAUUGUAGACAUUUCCCAUUAUUGUCUCCAUUUAUUCAAUCAUGAGUAAAUCCAAGAGAUAUAAUAAGAUAUUGAACAAAAUUGUCAACAUCAAUGAAGAUUGUUCUGACAGUGAAAGCUCUGAAUACCUUGAAAGUGGAGAGAUAGAAGGAUCUUCGGAUAGUGAAAAGGAACACUUCUUGAAAGUGUGUCGUAACAAGAAAAGCAUGCAUAUUCUUUUUAGUUCUGAUUCCGAGGAUGGAAGGACGAGCAUUCCAAGCAUAUCCCAAAAUGUAAUAAGUGAAAUUGAAAUUGCAAUUGACGUGACACAGUGCAUAAAACUGAAAGCAGGCGGAUCUAGGGGUAUAAAUAUAUACGCGAAAUAUUAUGUCGGUUUAUGUAACUAGUACUUUCGAAUUGAUAAUUGACAGAUACAUAAUGGAACACAUAAACGAUUGCACUGAAAUGCGAGUUCAUUCGCAUCGAGUUUUGAAAAAAGACUGGACAAUCACAGUUGCUGAGUUGCGUAGUUUUCUAGGAAUUCUAUAUACCCGAGGCGCAUAUGAAGCGAGGUCAUUGAAAGCCUCCGAAAGAUUACAAAUAGAUAAAUUUGCGCUGAUAUCCGAAAUAUGGAACAGAUUUAUAAGUAUUAGCCAGGCUUGUUACAAGCCAUAUGAAAAUAUCUCAAUAGAUGAACAAUUAUUUCCAACGAAAGCUCGAUGCAGGUUUACGCAGUAUAUACCAAAUAAGCCUCAUAAAUUUGGCAUUAAGUUUUGGUUAGCAGUUGACAUCCAAACAAAAUAUAUUUUGAAUGGUUUCCCUUAUAUGGGCAAAGAUGAAACUUGAUGCUCAAGAGAAAAAAGGACAGGAUGAUAUUGUUUUCCUCAAAUUUAUAUAAAUCAGAAAACUGCACACUUACUGUGUAUAAAAGUAAACCUAAAGUAAAAGUCCUCCUUCUAAGCACCAAACAUACAGGUGUACAAAUAGAAGAUAAUUAUAAACGUGUUCCAGAAACAUUGCUUUUUACAAUAAAACAAAGUAUGGUGUUGACCAAAUGGCAUGCAAAUAUAGUGUGAAAGCAAAGAGGGUUCCGAUGACCCCUUCAAGUCUUUUUCAAUAUUUUGGAUUUGGCAGUGAUAAACGCGUGGAUACUAUAUAAAGAAUGUACCAGAUCGAAAAUAUCCAGAAAGGAAUUCAUUUUUUGUUUAGCCGAGGAAUUAGCUGGAGAAAACAAAGAGAACAUUUGCCAAAGAUCAGACACUUCAUUUCUGUCAGCUUCAACGUCAGAAGUGUGAAAAGGUUACCAAGUGGGUUAUUGCAAAAAAAAAUAGAAGUAAUAAUUAUUGUAUACAUCGCAAAAAGAUCGUAUGCAGAAAAUGCACAAACAACAUUCAGUAUAUUUGCAAAAAAUGUGCUCAAUAGAUAUGAUUACCCCGUACCGUUAAUGUUAUUGUUAUUUUUUUAGUGAUAAUUUAAAAAAAAUGUUUCAUUUAUUAAUAAUUUAUUUAAACGUGAAGCCUAAUAUUGUUCCU